UUUUUAAAACUUUUAAAAAAAAAAAAAUCCUUUCUAAAAGUUAGAAAAGAAAAAAAAAAAGGAGUCAUCCAAAUAGUUCGAAUUAUC
This is a long non-coding RNA of Phalaenopsis equestris, 87 nucleotides long. RefSeq lists it as uncharacterized. The record is from RefSeq and is a predicted model, not a curated record. NCBI's taxonomy places the organism in Eukaryota, Viridiplantae, Streptophyta, Magnoliopsida, Asparagales, Orchidaceae. The transcript is spliced from 3 exons.